RNAcentral lists this ribosomal RNA (372 nucleotides) under uncultured eukaryote. RNAcentral's name for it is "SSU rRNA". It matches the Rfam family "Eukaryotic small subunit ribosomal RNA", at positions 587 to 972 of the family's 1831-position model. The record is from RNAcentral.
AGCUCCAAUAGCGUAUAUUAAAGUUGUUGCAGUUAAAAGCUCGUAGUUGGAUUUCUGGUCGGGUGACCCGGCCCUCAAGCUGAGUGUGCAAGGCCGCCCGUCCAUCCUUCUGUUAACUUUUAAGAUCUUCACGAUCUUUCUAGGGCUCAGAUAUUUUACCUUGAGAAAAAUUAGAGUGUUUCAGGCAGGCUAGCGCCGGAAUACAUUAGCAUGGAAUAAUGGAAUAGGACUUUUGCCUCUUCUGUUGGUCUGAGGGGUUCGAGUAAUGAUUAAUAGGGAUAGUUGGGGGCAUUAGUACUUAACUGUCAGAGGUGAAAUUCUCGGAUUUGUUAAAGACUAACUUAUGCGAAAGCAUUGCCAAGGAUGUUUUCA